This 497-nucleotide ribosomal RNA is filed under the name uncultured bacterium. Its description in RNAcentral is "partial 16S ribosomal RNA". It matches the Rfam family "Bacterial small subunit ribosomal RNA", at positions 28 to 507 of the family's 1533-position model. The record is from RNAcentral.
GACGAACGCUGGCGGCGUGCCUAAUACAUGCAAGUUGAGCGCUGAAGGUUGGUACUUGUACCAACUGGAUGAGCAGCGAACGGGUGAGUAACGCGUGGGGAAUCUGCCUUUGAGCGGGGGACAACAUUUGGAAACGAAUGCUAAUACCGCAUAAAAACUUUAAACACAAGUUUUAAGUUUGAAAGAUGCAAUUGCAUCACUCAAAGAUGAUCCCGCGUUGUAUUAGCUAGUUGGUGAGGUAAAGGCUCACCGAGGCGAUGAUACAUAGCCGACCUGAGAGGGUGAUCGGCCACAUUGGGACUGAGACACGGCCCAAACUCCUACGGGAGGCAGCAGUAGGGAAUCUUCGGCAAUGGACGAAAGUCUGACCGAGCAACGCCGCGUGAGUGAAGAAGGUUUUCGGAUCGUAAAACUCUGUUGGUAGAGAAGAACGUUGGUGAGAGUGGAAAGCUCAUCAAGUGACGGUAACUACCCAGAAAGGGACGGCUAACUACGUG